GACGAACGCUGGCGGCGUGCUUAACACAUGCAAGUCGAACGGAAAGGCCCUGCUUUUGUGGGGUGCUCGAGUGGCGAACGGGUGAGUAACACGUGAGUAACCUGCCCUUGACUUUGGGAUAACUUCAGGAAACUGGGGCUAAUACCGGAUAGGAGCUCCUGCUGCAUGGUGGGGGUUGGAAAGUUUCGGCGGUUGGGGAUGGACUCGCGGCUUAUCAGCUUGUUGGUGGGGUAGUGGCUUACCAAGGCUUUGACGGGUAGCCGGCCUGAGAGGGUGACCGGCCACAUUGGGACUGAGAUACGGCCCAGACUCCUACGGGAGGCAGCAGUGGGGAAUAUUGCACAAUGGGCGGAAGCCUGAUGCAGCAACGCCGCGUGCGGGAUGACGGCCUUCGGGUUGUAAACCGCUUUCGCCUGUGACGAAGCGUGAGUGACGGUAAUGGGUAAAGAAGCACCGGCUAACUACGUGCCAGCAGCCGCGGUGAUACGUAGGGUGCGAGCGUUGUCCGGAUUUAUUGGGCGUAAAGGGCUCGUAGGUGGUUGAUCGCGUCGGAAGUGUAAUCUUGGGGCUUAACCCUGAGCGUGCUUUCGAUACGGGUUGACUUGAGGAAGGUAGGGGAGAAAUGGAAUUCCUGGUGGAGCGGUGGAAUGCGCAGAUAUCAGGAGGAACACCAGUGGCGAAGGCGGUUCUCUGGGCCUCUCCUGACGCUGAGGAGCGAAAGCGUGGGGAGCGAACAGGCUUAGAUACCCUGGUAGUCCACGCUGUAAACGGUGGGUACUAGGUGUGGGGUCCAUUCCACGGGUUCCGUGCCGUAGCUAACGCUUUAAGUACCCCGCCUGGGGAGUACGGCCGCAAGGCUAAAACUCAAAGGAAUUGACGGGGCCCCGCACAAGCGGCGGAGCAUGCGGAUUAAUUCGAUGCAACGCGUAGAACCUUACCUGGGUUUGACAUGGAUCGGGAGCGCUCAGAGAUGGGUGUGCCUCUUUUGGGGUCGGUUCACAGGUGGUGCAUGGCUGUCGUCAGCUCGUGUCGUGAGAUGUUGGGUUAAGUCCCGCAACGAGCGCAACCCUUGUUCACUGUUGCCAGCACGUUAUGGUGGGGACUCAGUGGAGACCGCCGGGGUCAACUCGGAGGAAGGUGGGGAUGACGUCAAGCCAUCAUGCCCCUUAUGUCCAGGGCUUCACGCAUGCUACAAUGGCUGGUACAGAGAGUGGCGAGCCUGUGAGGGUGAGCGAAUCUCGGAAAGCCGGUCUCAGUUCGGAUUGGGGUCUGCAACUCGACCUCAUGAAGUCGGAGUCGCUAGUAAUCGCAGAUCAGCAACGCUGCGGUGAAUACGUUCCCGGG
Molecule: ribosomal RNA, 1344 nt
Filed under: uncultured bacterium
Lineage: Bacteria
Description: 16S ribosomal RNA
Rfam family: Bacterial small subunit ribosomal RNA
Source: RNAcentral